CUCACCAGGUCAGGACACGGUAAGGAUUGACGGACUGAAGGCUCUUUCUCGAUUCCGUGGAAAGUGGUGCAUGGCCGUUUUUGGUUGGUGGAUCGAUCCGUCUGGUUAAUUCCGUUAACGAACGAGACCUCGGCACUCCGAAUAGCGCGGCGGACGUCGCGGCCUCCGGGCCGUCUUCCGCACGAGCUUCUUAGAGGGACCGUCCCCCGCCGGGGAAGGAGGUGCGAGGCAACGACAGGUCUGUGAUGCCCUUAGAUGUUCUGGGCCGCACGCGCAUUACACUGACGCGUCCAACGGGUGACUCCCGACCCGAAGGGGCCGGGGAAUCCGCAAGGCGCGUCGUGAUGGGGAUUGAACGUUGCAAUUGUUGUUCACGAACGAGGAAUUCCUAGUAGGCGCGGGUCAUCAACCCGCGCCGAUUACGUCCCUGCCCUUUGUACACACCGCCCGUCGCUCCUACCGAUCGAACGGUCCGGUGAGGACCCAGGACGGCGCGGGACCCGAGGGGCCGAAAAGGGCUCCGCGACCCGUGUCGGAAUCCGUCCGAACCUUACCGUUAGA
RNAcentral lists this ribosomal RNA (561 nucleotides) under uncultured eukaryote. Its description in RNAcentral is "bacterial SSU rRNA". It matches the Rfam family "Eukaryotic small subunit ribosomal RNA", at positions 1214 to 1777 of the family's 1831-position model. The record is from RNAcentral.